GAUGAACGCUGGCGGCGUGCCUAAUACAUGCAAGUCGAGCGAACAGAUAAGGAGCUUGCUCCUUUGACGUUAGCGGCGGACGGGUGAGUAACACGUGGGUAACCUACCUAUAAGACUGGGAUAACUUCGGGAAACCGGAGCUAAUACCGGAUAAUAUUUCGAACCGCAUGGUUCGAUAGUGGAAGAUGGUUUUGCUAUCACUUAUAGAUGGACCCGCGCCGUAUUAGCUAGUUGGUAAGGUAACGGCUUACCAAGGCGACGAUACGUAGCCGACCUGAGAGGGUGAUCGGCCACACUGGAACUGAGACACGGUCCAGACUCCUACGGGAGGCAGCAGUAGGGAAUCUUCCGCAAUGGGCGAAAGCCUGACGGAGCAACGCCGCGUGAGUGAUGAAGGUCUUCGGAUCGUAAAACUCUGUUAUUAGGGAAGAACAUACGUGUAAGUAACUGUGCACGUCUUGACGGUACCUAAUCAGAAAGCCACGGCUAACUACGUG
This 497-nucleotide ribosomal RNA is filed under the name uncultured bacterium. RNAcentral's name for it is "partial 16S ribosomal RNA". It matches the Rfam family "Bacterial small subunit ribosomal RNA", at positions 28 to 507 of the family's 1533-position model. The record is from RNAcentral.